RNAcentral lists this ribosomal RNA (253 nucleotides) under uncultured bacterium. RNAcentral describes it as "partial 16S ribosomal RNA". It matches the Rfam family "Bacterial small subunit ribosomal RNA", at positions 524 to 776 of the family's 1533-position model. The record is from RNAcentral.
UACAGAGGGUGCGAGCGUUAAUCGGAAUUACUGGGCGUAAAGCGUGCGUAGACGGCUAUCUAAGUCGGGUGUGAAAGCCCCGGGCUCAACCUGGGAAUUGCAUUCGAGACUGAAUAGCUAGGGUACGGUAGAGGGAAGCGGAAUUUCCGGUGUAGCGGUGAAAUGCGUAGAUAUCUGGAGGAACACCGGUGGCGAAGGCGGCGUUCUGGACUGCAACUGACACUGAGGAACGAAAGCCAGGGGAGCAAACGGG